RNAcentral lists this ribosomal RNA (492 nucleotides) under uncultured bacterium. Its description in RNAcentral is "partial 16S ribosomal RNA". It matches the Rfam family "Bacterial small subunit ribosomal RNA", at positions 29 to 507 of the family's 1533-position model. The record is from RNAcentral.
AGUGAACGCUGGCGGUAGGCCUAACACAUGCAAGUCGAACGGCAGCACAGUAAGAGCUUGCUCUUACGGGUGGCGAGUGGCGGACGGGCGAGGAAUACAUCGGAAUCUACUUUUUCGUGGGGGAUAACGUAGGGAAACUUACGCUAAUACCGCAUACGACCUACGGGUGAAAGCAGGGGAUCUUCGGACCUUGCGCGAUUGAAUGAGCCGAUGUCGGAUUAGCUAGUUGGCGGGGUAAAGGCCCACCAAGGCGACGAUCCGUAGCUGGUCUGAGAGGAUGAUCAGCCACACUGGAACUGAGACACGGUCCAGACUCCUACGGGAGGCAGCAGUGGGGAAUAUUGGACAAUGGGCGCAAGCCUGAUCCAGCCAUACCGCGUGGGUGAAGAAGGCCUUCGGGUUGUAAAGCCCUUUUGUUGGGAAAGAAAAGCAGCAGGUUAAUACCCCGCUGUUCCGACGGUACCCAAAGAAUAAGCACCGGCUAACUUCGUG